Nematolebias whitei (Rio pearlfish) is the source of this 328-nucleotide long non-coding RNA. RefSeq lists it as uncharacterized. The transcript has 3 exons. NCBI's taxonomy places the organism in Eukaryota, Metazoa, Chordata, Actinopteri, Cyprinodontiformes, Rivulidae. The record is from RefSeq and is a predicted model, not a curated record.
GACAUGAAAUAUUAAAUUGUGGGCGAGUUGUUUUUUACAUGCAGAUAUGUGCUUUACUGGGUUUCUAGGGCAAUCCUGUGUGCACGGUCUCAGUACUUCCGCGCUAUGCUCAGUGGAAGCUGGAUGGAGAGCUCUAGACAGUGCAUCACUCUGCAAGGCUUAGGACCGGAGGAAAUGGAAAUCUUGCUCCAGUUCAUGUACGGAGCCAUCGUGGAUCUGCCCAGUGGAGCUAACGCCAGCCAAGUGGUGCUGGCUGCAGAUAUGUUGGGACUGGAAGGACUCAAAGACGUUGUGGAGAUGGUUCUUACCCGGGAUUACUGCCGCUUCU